GGAUGUAAAUCUUUCAAUUUCUCCGUACAACACUGGUUACAAUGUUAGUCCCAGCAUUUGUUGCGCACCAUUGGCAUCCAAUGAAACUCUGCUAAGAGGAACCUGUGAUGGACACUCUCAGCUCUACCUCUACCUGUGAGGAGGAAGUCACCGAGACCUCAAAGGGUACACCAACAAGGCUUUCCCCUGCCCCAUCACGAUGUUCGGAGUGCAAUGAAUCCGAUACAAAUCUAUUUCAUCCAGAUAGACCAGCUGAUGGUGCCUGAGAUUUUCCGGCAAUUUCUGAUUUUGUUUCCGAUUUCCAGCGUCCAGAUUUCUUUGGUUUUCUGUUGGAUCAGAGUCAAGGAGAUAUAAAGAAAACCACCCAUCCUGAUGGGUGCUGAAGACCUGUCAGAAGCAGGACCAGAUCAAUCUUUUGAAGUUACAGCACGGGACUGUACACAUAACAAACAAUGCAAGAAGCAUGCAAUAUCCAGGGUUAUGACAUUUCGCAAGCAACAGAUCAGAUUAAAGCUCUAUACUGUUAUCGCAACCACUUGUGAAUAAUGGUUGGCCACGAAACAUCGAUAGGAAGGAAGAGUCUCCAUGAGUGUCUCCAUCUCAAUGGUGGCAGAGCCUGGGCACACAAUUGUUAAAGAAAUGCUGUAUCUUUAAAUGUCAAUACAUUUCAGCUUUCUCCUGAGGAGUCCAACAUUACAGAUGACAGUCUUCAGCCAAACUGAUUCACUGCACGUGAUAGCUACAAAUGUUCAACAUCUCAUCUAAAUAUUGCACUGUAAUGGCAACCAAGACGAUGCUCCAAAGUCUCACGGUGGAGUGCGGGUACUGAUGUUUGACCUUCUGUCCAGAGAUU
Molecule: long non-coding RNA, 853 nt
Organism: Chiloscyllium plagiosum (whitespotted bambooshark)
Lineage: Eukaryota; Metazoa; Chordata; Chondrichthyes; Orectolobiformes; Hemiscylliidae
Source: RefSeq, a predicted model, not a curated record